RNAcentral lists this ribosomal RNA (545 nucleotides) under uncultured bacterium. RNAcentral's name for it is "bacterial SSU rRNA". It matches the Rfam family "Bacterial small subunit ribosomal RNA", at positions 1 to 549 of the family's 1533-position model. The record is from RNAcentral.
CCUUAGAGUUUGAUCCUGGCUCAGGAUGAACCCUGGCGGCGUGCUUAACACAUGCAAGUCGAACGGAGAUGUACGCUGAAGAAGCUUCGGUGGAUUCUUGUGCAUCUUAGUGGCGGACGGGUGAGUAACGCGUGGGCGACCUGCCUCACACAGGGGGAUAACAGCCAGAAAUGGCUGCUAAUACCGCAUAAGCGCACAGUGCUGCAUGGCACAGUGUGAAAAACCGAGGUGGUGUGAGAUGGGCCCGCGUCUGAUUAGCUUGUUGGCGGGGUAACGGCCCACCAAGGCAACGAUCAGUAGCCGGCUUGAGAGAGUGGACGGCCACAUUGUAACUGAGACACGGUCCAAACUCCUACGGGAGGCAGCAGUGGGGAAUAUUGCACAAUGGGGGAAACCCUGAUGCAGCGACGCCGCGUGAGUGAAGAAGUAUUUCGGUAUGUAAAGCUCUAUCAGCAGGGAAGAUAAUGACGGUACCUGACUAAGAAGCCCCGGCUAACUACGUGCCAGCAGCCGCGGUAAUACGUAGGGGGCAAGCGUUAUCCGGA